This 253-nucleotide ribosomal RNA is filed under the name uncultured bacterium. RNAcentral describes it as "partial 16S ribosomal RNA". It matches the Rfam family "Bacterial small subunit ribosomal RNA", at positions 524 to 776 of the family's 1533-position model. The record is from RNAcentral.
UACGGAGGGGGCUAGCGUUGUUCGGAAUUACUGGGCGUAAAGCGCACGUAGGCGGAUCAGUCAGUUAGAGGUGAAAUCCCAGGGCUCAACCCUGGAACUGCCUUUAAUACUGCUGAUCUGGAGGUCGAGAGAGGUGAGUGGAAUUCCGAGUGUAGAGGUGAAAUUCUUAGAUAUUCGGAGGAACACCAGUGGCGAAGGCGGCUCACUGGCUCGAUACUGACGCUGAGGUGCGAAAGCGUUGGGAGCAAACAGG